Molecule: long non-coding RNA, 286 nt
Filed under: Lathyrus oleraceus (garden pea)
Lineage: Eukaryota; Viridiplantae; Streptophyta; Magnoliopsida; Fabales; Fabaceae
Description: Pisum sativum (pea) long non-coding RNA (PSAT_LNC017024)
Source: RNAcentral
UCUUUACACCCCAAAUUUCCCGUCUAUUUUCUUCCUUUUGUUUUUUAUUUAUUUAUUAUGUUUUUUCUUUUUCUUUUAGAACUAGAGCCUUAAGCCUAUUUAGUAUUUUUAUUUUUUCACACUCUUCUAUUGAUAGUGCACCCCCUCCCUUUUAUUAUUUUUUAUGAUUUUUUAUUUAAUUGUUUAAUUGAUGUAUAUUAAUAACAAAAAUAUAAAAAAUGAUUAAAAUCAACCUUUCAAAAAUAAAAUCAAAACUUGAUCAACAUCAAGUAAUUUUCAAAACCAU